UGUAUUUUUCAGUGGUGACCC
RNAcentral lists this non-coding RNA (21 nucleotides) under Arabidopsis thaliana (thale cress). The record is from RNAcentral. Lineage: Eukaryota; Viridiplantae; Streptophyta; Magnoliopsida; Brassicales; Brassicaceae.